UGGGUAAUAUUGGACAAUGGGCGCAAGCCUGAUCCAGCCAUGCCGCGUGUGUGAAGAAGGCCUUUUGGUUGUAAAGCACUUUAAGCGAGGAGGAGGCUACUUGGAUUAAUACUCUAAGAUAGUGGACGUUACUCGCAGAAUAAGCACCGGCUAACUCUGUGCCAGCAGCCGCGGUAAUACAGAGGGUGCGAGCGUUAAUCGGAUUUACUGGGCGUAAAGCGUGCGUAGGCGGCUUCUUAAGUCGGAUGUGAAAUCCCUGAGCUUAACUUAGGAAUUGCAUUCGAUACUGGGAAGCUAGAGUAUGGGAGAGGAUGGUAGAAUUCCAGGUGUAGCGGUGAAAUGCGUAGAGAUCUGGAGGAAUACCGAUGGCGAAGGCAGCCAUCUGGCCUAAUACUGACGCUGAGGUACGAAAGCAUGGGGAGCAAACAGG
This 430-nucleotide ribosomal RNA is filed under the name bacterium. Its description in RNAcentral is "partial 16S ribosomal RNA". It matches the Rfam family "Bacterial small subunit ribosomal RNA", at positions 355 to 776 of the family's 1533-position model. The record is from RNAcentral.